This 70-nucleotide small RNA is filed under the name Seonamhaeicola aphaedonensis. Its description in RNAcentral is "Flavo-1 RNA". It matches the Rfam family "Flavo-1 RNA". The record is from RNAcentral. Lineage: Bacteria; Pseudomonadati; Bacteroidota; Flavobacteriia; Flavobacteriales; Flavobacteriaceae.
UAAUGGCAUUAGUGAUAGAAACGGCAUCCUUUUGCUUUUGCAAAAGAUACAGUGAAUAGCACGCCUUUUU